This 427-nucleotide ribosomal RNA is filed under the name uncultured bacterium. RNAcentral's name for it is "partial 16S ribosomal RNA". It matches the Rfam family "Bacterial small subunit ribosomal RNA", at positions 354 to 796 of the family's 1533-position model. The record is from RNAcentral.
GUGGGGAAUAUUGGGCAAUGGGGGCAACCCUGACCCAGCGACGCCGCGUGAGGGAAGAAGGCCUUAGGGUCGUAAACCUCUGUUGUGUGGGAAGAAGGAAGUGACGGUACCACACGAGGAAGUCCCGGCUAACUACGUGCCAGCAGCCGCGGUAAUACGUAGGGGACGAGCGUUGUCCGGAAUUACUGGGCGUAAAGGGCGCGUAGGCGGUCAUUUAAGUCAGCUGUGAAAUGGUCCGGCUCAAGCGGAUCAUGCGGUUGCAAUGGGAUGACUGGAGUGCUGGGGAGGCAAGUGGAAUUCCCAGUGUAGCGGUGAAAUGCGUAGAUAUUGGGAAGAACACCGGUGGCGAAGGCGACUUGCUGGCCAGCAACUGACGCUGAGGCGCGAAAGCCAGGGGAGCAAACGGGAUUAGAUACCCGGGUAGUCC